CCUACGGGAGGCUGCAGUGGGGAAUUUUGGACAAUGGGCGCAAGCCUGAUCCAGCCAUGCCGCGUGAGUGAAGAAGGCCUUCGGGUUGUAAAGCUCUUUCAGACGGAAAGAAAUCGGUGAGGUUAAUACCUUCACUGGAUGACGGUACCGUAAGAAGAAGCACCGGCUAACUACGUGCCAGCAGCCGCGGUAAUACGUAGGGUGCGAGCGUUAAUCGGAAUUACUGGGCGUAAAGCGUGCGCAGGCGGUGAUGUAAGACAGAUGUGAAAUCCCCG
Molecule: ribosomal RNA, 275 nt
Filed under: uncultured Zoogloea sp.
Lineage: Bacteria; Pseudomonadati; Pseudomonadota; Betaproteobacteria; Rhodocyclales; Zoogloeaceae
Description: partial 16S ribosomal RNA
Rfam family: Bacterial small subunit ribosomal RNA
Source: RNAcentral